This 535-nucleotide long non-coding RNA is filed under the name Homo sapiens (human). RNAcentral's name for it is "HSALNT0231352". Lineage: Eukaryota; Metazoa; Chordata; Mammalia; Primates; Hominidae. The record is from RNAcentral.
AUUACAGUUUCUGUAUUUUUUAAGAGAGAAAACAAAAACACUUGUGUCUCUUCAGCAUUCCCCUGCGGUGAAACCAAGCGGGUUAAAGAGAACCCACGGGAGAAUGUAGCCCAGAGAGUCAGUGCCCGACAGCUGGCUUAGGUGAUGACGGCUCUGCAGGGCUGGGAACAUCUGGAGUGUGGAGAUGAGGCUUGUCUCUCCUCGAGCUGGAAAAACACACACAGCUGAGCAGGCUGCCAAAGACCGAGGGGAAGGCUCUGAACUUCCUAGCUCACCCCAGCCUCCCGAGGUUAAUAUUCCAAGGGCAAGGACUUCAUUUGAACACCAUGUUCUGUCAUAAGCUCUUUGCUGAAUAACUCACUUGAUGCCUUUUAGCAAUUUUGAGGCCAGGGGCAGAAGCAGUCCUGCAAACAAAUGAUAGUAAAUCCAAAGCGAUGAUUCUACACAUUUGGGACAUCAUCUAUUGGGACAAAUGCUUCCGAACACAUUUUCAUAUGAUCCCUUCAAUAGAGCUACCCCAAAAGACAGGACAGUG